Molecule: non-coding RNA, 99 nt
Filed under: chicken gut metagenome
Description: yjdF RNA
Rfam family: azaaromatic riboswitch aptamer (yjdF RNA)
Source: RNAcentral
GGCAAAGAUAAAAACACAGGUUCCGGUUGGUAGUCCGGCCGCGCUUUCCAAAAGCGCCAGUAACCCUCCCUCCUUGGGUCGUCCGUUCUUUGUCCAUUA